Molecule: ribosomal RNA, 775 nt
Filed under: uncultured Neocallimastigales
Lineage: Eukaryota; Fungi; Neocallimastigomycota; Neocallimastigomycetes; Neocallimastigales
Description: partial large subunit ribosomal RNA
Rfam family: Eukaryotic large subunit ribosomal RNA
Source: RNAcentral
UAUGUGAUCGUCUCUCGCAUAUCAAUAAGCGGAGGAAAAGAAACUAACAAGGAUUCCCUUAGUAACGGCGAGUGAAGCGGGAAGAGCUCAAAUUUGAAAUCUUCAAGGUUUUACCUUGACGAAUUGUAGUUUAAAGAAGUGUUUUCUGUUGAAGUUUUGGUAAAAGUUCUUUGGAAUAGGACAUCAUAGAGGGUGAGAAUCCCGUAUUUGACCAUUAUUUUCAGCUGUGUGAUACACUUUCAAAGAGUCGGAUUGUUUGGGAAUGCAGUCCAAAGUGGGUGGUAAAUUUCAUCUAAAGCUAAAUAUUGGCGAGAGACCGAUAGCGAACAAGUACCGUGAGGGAAAGAUGAAAAGAACUUUGAAAAGAGAGUUAAACAGUACGUGAAAUUGUCAAAAGGGAAGCGUUUGACACCAGUGUUGUUUUCUCGAAAAUCAAUUAAAAAGAGUUAGAUUUUGUUGUGUAUUGACCUUAACAGCUUGCAUUUCAAUUUUCUUGCUUUUUUUAAUGCACUCUUCGUUUAACAAGUCAACAUCAGUUUCUUUUGUUGUAAAAAGGUCAUUGGAAGGUGGCUUUCUUUUCGGAGAAAGUGUUUAUAGCCUUUGACUCCUGCAAUCGGAGAGACUGAGGUCUGCAGCGUAGGAUCCUUCGGGGUUAGAUACAUUUGUGCUAAGUUAUAGCUUUUUAUAGACAACUUGUCGACUAUGAUUAGUCUUGUAGCUUACUCGCUUAUGCUAUUUUACCUACGCUUAGGAUGUUGAAGAUGUAGCACAUCAU